CAGCAGCCGCGGUAAUACCAGCUCUCCGAGUGGUGUGGAUGUUUAUUGGGCCUAAAGCAUCCGUAGCUGGCUAAGUUAGUCCCCUGUUAAAUCCAACGAAUUAAUCGUUGGAUCGCGGGGGAUACUGCUUGGCUAGGGGACGAGAGAGGCAGACGGUAUUUCCGGGGUAGGGGUGAAAUCCUAUAAUCCCGGGAAGACCACCAGUGGCGAAGGCUGUCUGCUAGAACGCGCCCGACGGUGAGGGAUGAAAGCUGGGGGAGCGAACCGGAUUAGAUACCCGGGUAGUCCCAGCUGUAAACGAUGCAGGCUAGGUGUUUGGACGGCCACGUGCCGUUCUAGUGCCGCAGGGAAGCUGUUAAGCCUGCCGCCUGGGGAGUACGAUCGCAAGAUUGAAACUUAAAGGAAUUGGCGGGGGAGCACCACAAGGGGUGAAGCUUGCGGUUUAAUUGGAGUCAACGCCGGAAAUCUCACCGGGAGCGACGGAUAUAUGAAGGUCAAGCUGAUGACUUUACCUGAUUUUCCGAGAGGAGGUGCAUGGCC
Molecule: ribosomal RNA, 540 nt
Filed under: uncultured archaeon
Lineage: Archaea
Description: bacterial SSU rRNA
Rfam family: Archaeal small subunit ribosomal RNA
Source: RNAcentral